Non-coding RNA from Acanthosepion pharaonis, 109 nucleotides. NCBI's taxonomy places the organism in Eukaryota, Metazoa, Mollusca, Cephalopoda, Sepiida, Sepiidae. The record is from the annotation of a GenBank genome assembly.
CAGCUAUAUCACAUUGAAACACUGGUUCUGAUAUGAUCACCAAAGUUAAGCAACAUCAAGCCUGGUCAGUACCUAGAUGGAUGACCACUUGUGAAUACCAGGUGUUGUA